Non-coding RNA from Rattus norvegicus (Norway rat), 14859 nucleotides. The record is from RefSeq and is a predicted model, not a curated record. Lineage: Eukaryota; Metazoa; Chordata; Mammalia; Rodentia; Muridae.
UGUGCAGCAGAAGAAACAACAGUCACUGCUUUUCCUUUCCCAUGGAGGUAUUCGGCCUUUGCCUGAAAGGUGUAACAUGUGUCCUCUUUUGGCUUAGAUCUGAUCUCUGUGUUCCCUUUCCUGUAACCAGGGUCAACAAAACACUGUGUCAGAUAUUGGUAAGGUUUAGAAAAUUCUUCCGGACUCCUGUAGUAAACCUUCCGGACGACAAGGCAAAUAAAGUCAGAUUUGCUCAUGGCUUGCUGGAUGUGAGAAACAUUAGCAUCACUUUUGAGCUUUCCAGAAAUUUAUCAGCUACUUAUGUAGACAUAUUACGCUGUCUUGAUUUAAAUUAUUAAUUGUUCUCACUCCUGGUUCUAUCUAAGUGAUUUAAACCAGGUUCCUUUAUGACAGAAAGAAGGCACGCUCUCUGAAAAAGGACUAAUUCUAAAACGGUUUUAGUUUGUCUUCGUAAGUGAAUGAUCAAAAUAAUUAGUGAUCACAAGUGAUUUGAUCAUUUAUCAUGUAAUAUUAACAAGCAGUGGGUCAAAGUGUGAGAGGAGAACUUAUGUGCCACAGAGUAGCAAUAUUUUUGUGCUAUGGUUUACAUUGUUAAGCAAACUAAAAUAAGCAAAUCUUCAUGCCAGGGUCUUAGUUAAUGUCAUCUUGCUUGGCUGAGAAGCCCACACCAUCUCUGAGCAGACAUAUUUUAAGAGAGCAUUAGGGCAUGCAUAUUUUUAGGAUGCUAAUAGACUCUCACCCCCUUUGAUUUUAGCUGCCAGAAAUUAUGAUUCAUAGUUCUUGAUAACACAGAACAGAAAACAUUGCAAAGGGAGAGAAAUUCUAACAGAUUGCUUAGGGAUGAUUUCUGAGUGUCAGUUGAUCAAACGUUUCUCUUUCAUUCCUUCAGCAAAAUGUGCACUUCUGUUUUGAAAAAUUAGUACAGAAAAAUCUUUAUUUUUUUCCCUUCUAAUACCUUCCAACCAUUAACAACUUUGCAAUCGCAUUUAAAAUUAUAUAAAAUUAUAUGAAAGACUAUAUAGCAUUAUAUUUGUUUAUAAUAACAAAAAUGACAGCUCAAAGGGACCUACCUAGACAAGGUUUCAGAAGAACAAAGGGCAGGACUUAUUGACUCCAUUCCCUUUUACAAUAAUAUUCUAAAGAAUAUAACAGUAUUAUAUGUUUCCUCUGUCUUUCUAGAUAAGGAAAAAUCUAGACCAUUAAAUAUCUGCAGUAGAAUAGAAUAAUAUUAGAAUAGACAAUUUCAAAAUAUAUGGUCAUCUUUUGAAUUAGCUGUAUUAUUCUAGAAAAAGAUGGGGUUGACAAAGAAUUCCUUAAUCAUAACCAAGGCCUAAAGUAGUCUGUCUUGAAUAUCAAAUUUUUCUUUUUCAUAAGACAUUUUGUUUUUAAUUAUGUGUAGAUGCGAGUGUGCAUGUGGGUGUGUACAUAUGAUUACAGUGCCCCGCAGAAGGCCAGAGGCAUAGAAUCCCCUGCAGUUAGUAUUAGAAACAAUUUCAGCUGCCCAACUUGGAUACUGAGAACUGAAUUUGGUUUAUCUGUAAAGUCUGUCUAUACACCUCUUCAGCCCAAAUAUCAAUACUUACCCACAGUUUUGACUUGAAAAGUACAUAUUUAUACUUCACUGGUUUUCAAGUAAUGCUGAUUUUUCUCCUUUGUGUCCCCUCCCCAUUGUUUAGACUAGAAGCCCUAGUCGCCUAUACAGAUCUACAAUCUUCUUUUCUUAAAACGCUCAUUACUGUACACAGGAGUGCGAAAGGGACACUAUUCCUAGUAAGAAAUGUGUACCAUUUAGUUUUUAACACAAAGGGUUGGUGUGAUGGAAUUUUUCAGGCAUGAGAAAACAUAAGUAAAUGUCUUGUUAGCCAAUGAUCAGACAGAAUGAAACAAAAUAUACAUGUAGUGCAUUACGGAUUGAAGUGUGCAAAGCACUCCCAUUUUAAUUAAAAUUUUAGAGGAAAACUCAUUCACAUGAAUUAAUAGCAAGAUUUUUUAGCAGGUUUCAUAAACGGUGACAAAAUUUACAUCUUUGUAUUCAAGAAGAGUAUAAAGUACAGAGUGAAGAUGUCUACAUAUGUCGACUCCUUUCAACAUGCGCCAUAAAUAGCAAAGCUCCGUGGAUAUUAAAUUAUGUGAGAGCAGAUGACUCAUGAGUAACUGCAAAUACCUGACCUGCUUCCACACGUUGCUUACUUUCUAAAAGGUAGCAUGGAAAGACAACACUGACAUAGCAUCCGGAGGAAUGACUUACUUGCUAAACAAUGCUCUGGGCUACAGGAAAUUCAGCCCAGGGUCAAGGCAACAUCUGAAGGAAACAAGACCCUUUCAAGCCAGGAGCCUUGGAGUUCAGUAGGUUCUUACCCUGCACUGUUUGCUUGUCUCCUCAAAGCAUUCUGCAUCUUCCUAUUUCUGUAGGAUAGUAAAAGGCUUUACAUUAAAAUGUACUCCACCAGUCAGAGAUGUCAAGACAAGAAAAUCAAUGAUAACAAAUAGCACAUAUGUGUGUUAUACGUAUCCAGAAAGCUAAUGAAAUGAAUGAAAUAAAACUUUGUUCUGUUAGUCUUCAUUGUCAAUGAAAUGCAUAAAAAACUUAUUUUUUUGUCCUUUGUAGGAUAUUCUGUUUCUCCCUGAUUGUUCUUGCUUACUGUAGAUGAUUCAUGGUUCUGUUCCUCUCAAUAUCCUGACCAAGAGAGAAGCAACAGUCUAAUUCCUCAGACACAUCUACCUGGUAACUAAGAAAUGGGCAGUUGACUGAGGUCUCUAUAAUGUUGGACCUCACUGGGUCCUAAGAUGUUCACAAAGAUCCUGAGAACUUAGGCCAAUAUACCAAGAUCUUCUCUAGGGUUCAAUCCAACUCAGAUGACAGCUACAGAAAAGAAGUUUGUCUAUUACAAUAAAGGUAAGGUAUCCAUAUAUACCCUGCCAUCUUGUAUGUGAAAAAUAGGACCUGGAAGUGUGAAAGACCUGUCAAAGGGCUAAGAGACUUCCUUCUUCCUUCCAAGGCUAUACAACUAAACAAAAUGAUUCCUUUUGCUAAUAAAGUCUACACAUUUCCUAACUUCCAAAACAUUUUCUUUUAUUUUAUUGUGUAAUCAGUUUCUAGUAGUGCUGAAGUCACCCAACACUAAAACAUAGCUUGAAUGUGUGAUCAGACAAGACUUAAGUAUUGGGAUCCUUCACCCUUCUUUUCUCUCCUCUUUUUGGUUUUGCCAAAACAGGGUUUCUCUGUGUAGCCCCUGGCUAUCCUGGAACUUACUUUGUAGACCAGGCUGGCCUUGAACUCUCAGAGAGCCACCUGCCUCUGAGUCCUGAGUGCUGGGAUUAAAGGUGUGUUCUAGCUUGAAUCUUUAUUCUUGUUCAGCAUUAGCCCUACAAAGUAAAGUAUGCCAAAUUCACAAUUCUAUGUAGAGUGGGAAUGAGUAAUUCUCAGUGACAGGGUCUGUUCUCCACUAGUAUUUGCUUCCCAAAGGACACAAGACAACAGGCACACUGGGCCCUCUCCCUCUGCUUCUUCUACUCUGGGCCUCUUAAGGAGUAUCACAGAUGGACAAAUGUGACCCAGGUUAGAGUAGCAAAUGAAUGGUAGGUGGAAAGGGAAGGAACAGCCUUUCUUUUGAGCUUGUUUGUCUAAUUAUCCUUUUCUGCAUUGUGUGUGUGUGUGUGUGUGUGUGUGUGUGUGUAUGUGUGAAUCUACAUCCUAAUUUUCUAUCGAUUCUAAAUCUAGACAGAAAGAAAACAGUUACUUAUCUUGUCUUUUUUUUUUUUUUUCGGAGCUGAGGACCGAACCCAGGGCCUUGCGCUUGCUAGGCAAGCACUCUACCACUGAGCUAAGUCCCCAACCCCAGCAGUUACUUAUCUAAUUCUCAAAACCCAAGCUGAUGAUACUGAGACAUGAUGAUAAGAAGGUAACCUUCAAAGAGCCAGACCUUACCAAUGGCAUUCCAAUAUGUUCUUCAAGCUCAUGCCCAUUUCAGAGUUGUGGAUAUGACACAAGAAUCCCUCCUUGAGCCCCUAUCAGGACCAGUUACUUUGUGACUGGUUGCUUGCCUCAUACCCGUGCAUUUAGAUACCCAUAAUUGAAAGCCAGAGGAUUUCCCUUCAAACCCUGCAUAGCUCAGGUCUGACAUCUGUGGGCCAUCUCUGCCCUUGCUUUCCUCAGCAUCAUCUGGGCAAAUGGAUAACUGGACUUGUCAAUCUCAUCUCCAAAAGAGCUUUGGAGCCCAUCUGCUGCUAGCCACCCUCCAUCCGCCACUGUCCCACCCUCCAUCCGCCACUGUCCCACCAUCCAUCCUCCACUGACGUCACCUUGUUCUCAUCCAUCAUCAUUUUGAUUCCUAUGGAGUUUAUCUCUACUGUGAUAAGUUCCUAAUUGCUCUUUUUAUUUAUUGUUUCCUCAUAAAUCUAUUUUAUACUGAAUAGCCACAGUAAACCAUGUGAGCUUUUUCUGACUUGACUCUUUUGGUAUUUUCCACAUCACACAUAGAAUACAAUCUAACCCUUGUCAUAACCCACAAGGCCCUUUGUGCUGUGACACCUGAUGAAUCCUCCUGAUUCUCUCCCCAUCAGUAACUGUGCUCCAAGAUCCCCAUUGUCUUUGCUUCUAUUUCAUCCUGACUUUAUUCAAUGCCUUGAUGGAGUUCAUGUUUCCCUUGACUUGAAGCUUAUGCAUCUGUUAUGUCUAAAAGUUAUUUUGUCUGGAUAUAUCAUAUCUUUCCUGACCAUUUAUUUAGAAAGAUCUUCCCCCUUUCCUCUGUCAUUUUUUAUGGUAGUCAUUGUUUUUAAUUAUCCUUUUAAUUUUAACACUUGCCAGUUUCUAUAUUUAUGCAUAAAUUUACUUAACUACUUUUAACUCUAAGAAAUCUCAUCUUAAACAGUACAUUGAAUCGCAUUUAAUGAGUGAAUGGAUCAGGUAAGAAUGUAUUUAUCAUUCAGGUGUGCUGAACUCAUAUACACAGUUACACUGAGUGAAUAUCUUGUAGAGGCUAAUUCCCUCCUCUAUGACAUUAAUAAAAUUCUCAGGAGAGAACAAAGCAGGACAGAGUUCCAGAGCUGGCUCUAUUCUCUUUCUCCAAGUUGAGUCUUUCAAAUACAAGAGUACAGUUUGUGCCUAGUAAGCUAGACUAAAUGUUCUUGUUUCUAAGUGCAACUAUAUAUGUAUUGUUAUGUAUCCACUGAAGUGACUCCUGUUAACAUGUCCUGCAAAAUUGCCAUUUUAUGCAUUCACUGUCUGUGCUUCAGGGAGAGAAGUUUUGUAAUCCUUCCUAACUCUGGGUGUGAAACAUUUACCAGAAUUUCUCUUUGAUUAUUGAAAACAUUCUUCUGUAUAAAUGCUCUUGACUCCUGGUAAGAAACGUUGCAGUACAUACAGACUUCCUUACCUGAUUGCAGGGAUGCAGAAUAGAGCUCAAUCUGAUUCCCUCCCUGCACAUCUUCUCCAUGUCCUUUUCCUUUCCUCCUCCUUUCUUCCUCCCUUUUCUUUUCCUCAUCUACUCUUUCUCUUAUCCCCUCCUUCCCCAACCCUUCCAUCUAAUUCCCUUCAUCUCUCCCUGUCUUCUACUGCCCCUUUUCUUCCUCUUUCCUUUCCCCUCCCUCCCUUUCUCUUCCCUUCCCUUUCCUUUCUUUUCUAUUCCCUCUUUUCUUUUCCUCUUUCCCCUCUGUGCCUCCUCCUCCCUUUCCCUUUGACUUUCCCCUCUUUUUCUCAGUGCUCCACAUUAGAAAUAAUAAAAUUCCAAUAAUAUGUGGUCUAAAAAGUCUAAGUUUCUUUCACACAUAUGCUGAGACUGAUGAAAUGAAAUAAUUUGAAUGCUGGCAAUUUUCUUGGUUUGAUAGUAUUGAUUAAGCACAUGUUCAAUCAUAGGCACUAUGCUAAGUCUAUGUACAAAGCUUAAUGCUGAUAAAGAUGCUUCUUCCUAACAAAGAACAAACUGUCUUUCUAAGUACCUUGUAUAUGGCUUUAACAUUGGCAGAGGGAAGGGCAACCUGCAAACUUUCCUUCCACCAUCUUUCAUUCUCUGUAAGUUAUUUCAGAGAAGUCAGCCUGAGAUCACCAUGGAUACAGCAACUGGACAUUUCAGAGAAAUUCUCCUGCAUUCAUUGAAGUGCAACUGUGGUUUAAAAAUAAUUGUGGAAUGUAAACCAUCAAUUGAAAACACGCUGAAGAGAUGAUUAAGUUGGUCAAGUGCUUGCCGUGCUAGCAUGAAGCUCUGAGCUUGAUCUCCAGACCUCAUUGGUACAGGAGACAACUUCCUGAACAGAAUGGCCUAGGCUCUAAGGUUAACAACUGAUAAAUGGAACCUUAUGAAACUAAAAAGCUUCUGUAAGGCAAAGGACACAGCCAAUGGGACUAAACAGCAGCCUGAAAAUUGGGAGAGGAUCUUGGCCAAUCCUACAUCCAACAGAGGGCUAAUAUCCAAAAUUUAAAAGGACUCCAGAAAAUAAACCUCAACAUUCCAAACAACCUAAAAUGGACACAGAGCUACACAGAGAAUUCUCAACAGAGGACUCUCAAAUGGCUGAAGAGCAUUUAAAGAAAUGUUCAAAGUACUUACUCAUCCGGGAAAUGCAAAUCAAAAUGGAAUGCAGAUUCCGUUUUACACCCAUCAGAAUAGCUAAGAUCAAAACACUCAAGUGACAGCACAUGUUGGUGAGGAUGUGGAGCAAGGGGAACUCUCCUCCAUUGCUGAUAGGAGUGCAAAGUUGUACAACCGCUUUGGAGACCAAUUUGGUGGUGUCUUAGAAAACUUGGAAUAGUUUUACUUCAAGACUUAGAUGUAACACUCUUGAGCAUAUACCAAAAAGAUACCCCACUAUACUCUAGGGACAAUUGUUCAUCUAUGUGGAUAGCAUUUAAUGGCCAGAAACUGGAAAAUCAUAUAUGCCCCUUAACCUAAAAAUGGAUAAAGAAAAUGUGGUUUAUUUGCAGAAUCAAAUACUAUUCUCAAUUUAGAAAAAAGACAUCAUGAAUUUUCUAGGCAAAUGGAUAGAGCCUGAGAAUACUAUCCUGAGUGACGCAACCCAGAACCAGAAAGACACUUAUGGUAUAUACUCACUUAUAAGUAGAUAUUAGACAUAAAGUGCAGGACAACCAGACUACAAUCCCCAGACUCAAAGAAAAUAGAUAAUAAAAAGGUUCCAAGGGAGGAUGAACGAAUCUCAUACAGAAGGGAAAACCAAAUAGUCAGGGGGUGGGGAUAGAAAGAGAGAACUGGGAAGGAGAGGAAGUGAGGAGGGGAACAGGAGGAUUAGAAGUGAGAAUGGGAAUUGGUACAGGGCGUCUCUGGGGACCCAGGACAGGAGAGAAUAUGGGGAGUCUGUGAGAGUCUAUAUUCCUCUCACAGAGAGGGGGAUAUAGAGACUGAAGUGGCCACCUCCUGUAGGCAGGCAGGACUUCCAGAGGACGGCAGGGGCAUCAAUCUACCCACAAAACCCUCAACCCAAAGUUUGUCUUCUGUACAAAAUGUGCAGUGGUGAAGAAGAAGCAUACAUUGAGGGAACGGCCUACCCAUGACAGCCUCAACCUGAGCCCCACCCCAUGUGAGAGAACCAGCCCCCGGCACUAUUAAUGAUGCUUUGCUAUGCUUGCAGACAGGAACCUAGCAUAACUGUCUCUUGAGAGGCUUCAUUCAGCAAUGGAUGUAGGCAGAUGCAGACCCCACAGGCGAACAUCAGGCAGAGCUCAGGAAGUGGAGAAGAACAGAGAUGGAAGUGUGCAAGUCAAAGAGGUUAAGCACACCACAAGUAUACUCAUAGAGUCACCUAAUCUGGGCCUAUGGGGGCUCAUAGGGACCGAGCCACCAAUCCUGGAACACGCAGGAGCUCAAUCUAGACACCCUACACAUUUGUAGCAAAUGUGCAACUUGGCCUUCCUGUGGGUUCCCUGAUAAGUGGAAUACGGAGUGUCUCGGUCUCUGUUCCCUGCCAUUGCAUCCCUUCACCUCCUUCUUGGACUACGUGGUUGGGCUUCAGUGGGAGAGGAUGUACCUAGACCUCCUGAAAUUAGAUGUCCCAGGGUGGAGUGGUACCCACGGGAAGCUCCCCUUUUUGGAGGAGAAGCAGGGUGCAUAGUGGGGAGGGAUUUGUAAGAGUAGAACUGGGAAGAGAGGAGGGAGCAGGCUCUGACCAGCAUGUAAAGUGAAUUUUAAAAAAUGGAAUAUAUACAUAUAUAUAUAUAUAUAUAUAUAUAUAUAUAUAUAUAUGGCACAGUUUAAUCUUAACACUCAGGAGACAGAAGCAAGUGGAUCUGUGUGAAGUUAAGGUCGUUUUCUCAAUAUUGAGAAUUCCAGGCUAGCUAUGGGCACACAGUGAAAGCUGGUCUCACCUGGGAGGUGAAAGACUCUCAAGCCUCAAAGGGAGGGACCUUAGAUGAAAUGCCCUACAGUGGGGAGACGGAACUUGGAGAGUCCACCUCCAGUAGAAAGACAGGGCUCAAGUGGAAGGAUGGGGUUGCCAUCCCACAGUCAAAAACUCUGACCCAGAACUGCAGGGACAAAAAUGGAGAAGAGACUGAGGAAAAGGAGGUCCAGUGACCAGCCCAACUUGAGAUCCAUCUUAAGGGGAGGCCCCAAGGCAUGACACAAUUACUGAUGCAUAUACAGAAAGGAGUCUAGCAUGGCUGUCCUCUGAGAGGCCCAAAAAGCAGAUGACUGAGUCAGAAGCAGAUACUGACACCCAACCACUGGACUAAAGUCUGGACCUAUGGUUGAAUUAGAGAAAGGCUGGAAGAAGCUGAGGAGGAGGAAGUCCCUAUAGGAGGACCAGCAGUCUCAACUAACCUGGACCCCCGAGAUCUCUCAAACACUGAGCCACCAACUAGGCAGCAUAUGCCAGCUGGUCUGAGGCCCCUGACACAUAUACAGCAGAGGAUUGCCUGGUCUGGCCUCAGUGAGCACUUAACCCUGGAGAGACUUGAGAACCCAGGGAGUGGGGAGGUUUGGGGAGGGACCUCCUCUUGGAGACAGGAGAGGAGGAAUGGGAUGAAGAAGAGUGGGAGGGCAGACCAGAAGGUGAGUUAACUACUGGACUGUAAAACAAUAAAAGUAAUAAUAAUAAUAAUAGUAGUAAUGAAGAUAGAAGGCAGAUACUUGGAACUCCCUGCUUAGCCAGCUUAACCUACUUGGCAAUCUCUAGUCCAGUUAUUAGAGCAUAUAUGUGGGUGGUUAGGUGGGUGGGGAAGUACCCUCAUAGAAACAGGGGGAGGGAGGACAAAAUAAGGGGUUUCUAAAGGGAAAACCAGGGAAGGGGAUAACAUUUGAAAUGUGAAUAAAUAAAAUAUCCAAUAAAAAAGAAAAAAUAUAUAUAAAGAAAAUAUAAUAUUACCAGAAUGAAUACAGUGUUUUUGCUGUUUACUGGAGAUUAAAGUACUAUAAAGAAAAGCCCCCUAGAAGGAAAAGUUAGACCACUUACAGCUGUCUGAAAAGCCUCCUUUGCAUCCGGAGUGUGCGUUCAUGAAUGCAAAGUUCCCUUGAGAGGAGCCAGAUACCUGUUCUCCAACCUCAGAAAUGAAACGUUUGCUUUACAAUCAGUAUCUUAACGCCAUCGUGAACACUGAAAACAAAAGCAGGUAGUUUCCGAGGCCCAGUGCCCUGCUUUUAGAGUGGGCCUCUUUCCUAUGCCGCUGUGAUGCAGAAUUGAUCUUCGGCAUGGAAGAUAUGGGUUUGCAGUUAUGUGAGUUUAGAACAGGAGUGAGAAUUUUGAAAAUCUCUCAUCCUCCAUAUAAUGUGACACAUGAGCCUGACAGAUAGGGCAUCUUGUGAUGUGUUAGCUGAUCACAUGACAAAAGCCGCAGGCCGAGGAUCCCCUUUCUGAUUUGUAAGGAUUUGGUUCUGGGUUCUGAGUCACUAGGUAAAUUUUAAACAAACACCCAGGCAGUGUGACUUUGCCUAGGAUGCUGUCUUCAAAGAAAGCCAUUUUUUUGUUGCAGUGUUACCAGAGGCCCUGAUAGAUCGUGGGCUAUGAACAGGCUGAUGCGUAUUUUACUUUCUGGGGUCAUGGACACACUGGGUACCCAUCAAACUGACUGAAAUGAAAUCUCUAACCAGGUGUCAGUGAGACUGCAAGAAGCAACUUGGGAGAUUUCUCUGGGAAACUCUGGGAAGACUGGUUUACAAACAAUGGUUGGCGGGAUUAUGUUAAUCUAUGGAGAUGUUUCUCACAGGGCUAUAUGUAAUGAAAUAUCCUAGGUACAGCAAAAAGCUUGAACUAUAUGCAUUUCAAAGAAUUUUUUUGGUGUUUAGAUGCUACAGAGACAUAUGAUAACAACGGACCCCUCUGAAUGUCUUUCUGUGUGACAGAAACAAAGUGGAUUCUGCACCUUUAGAAAACAUAUUGCCCAGCCAGCGAGAGCAGUUCAGCGUUUGCACGCAGAGCUGGUAUGGAUCCCCACGCCUUCAUGCAGACCUCUGGAGACAGUGCCUCCUGCUCCUCAGGGCUGAUCCGAACACCGGACAAGUUAAGUUCGUGUUUUUAGAGCAAGAUAUAUAUAUAUAGUCACGAAAUGGCAGGUUCUUUUAAUGAAUCUCUUGACUUCUUUUUAAAUCAGCAUCCCCCCCCCCCCGCUUAUAUUUCUAAUUGCUGGAUUAUAAAAUUCUGUCCAAUCGCCCCAGAUACAGCAUAGAAGAAAAGCAAUUCCAAUGGGAGAGCAGAGAGGAGUGGCUUGAUGAAAUGGGGGUGUGGUCAGAGAUGUGAAGGCGGGGACUUCAGGGAUGGUGUGAAGGAGAGCUUUGAACAGUAAUCUUAUCUGGCUGAAGGUUUUCCUGCCCACCGCGUCCUAUCUAGAAAGCUCGUUUUAUUAUUACUCAUUCAAAAAAAAAAUCUACAUUUUACUAGAAAAUAGAUGAGAUCGGAAACUUAAACAUUGACUUUAUGUUUAAAGGACGUUAAAGUUGUUCCUAAAGCAAUGCGUUAUGAAAGGUGACAACGCAAAGAACAAUGUUAUUGUUUCUUUUAAAAUGUGAACUUUUUGGGUAUGGGGGUUCGUAUCUUUGAUUCCAGCCUGCUCUACAUAGCUAGUUCCAGGUCAGCCACAGACACACACACACACACACACACACACACACACACACACACACGCUCACACACACUCAAUGCCAUGUUUCACAUGUCAAAAUAUCAAAUUUUAAGGCCUGCUUCUUUCUAAAAUGAAGUCAGUGGGAGACAAGUUGGAUAGAAGGACCCUUACAGGAAAUAGUGGUUCUUGGUUCCUUCCAUGGCUUUAUAACUUCCUGUCUGUGGAACGACCAGUUGCUUGCUUCCUUCCUUCUCUUCUUGAGUGGAUUACCAACUCCUACCACUGUUAACCCUGAUCCAGGAAGGAACGUCUGUCUGCAUCAUUCUGAGUGGGCUUUCGUUGCCUCACAUAUGUUCAGCUCUUGAAAACCUGUCAAAAUGAAAGACCAGAAGAUGCAGGAAGGGUGCCAGGCAAGAGUGUGGUCAGUGACCAGCCUGUGCUGAACAGAGGAAGACUCCUGAUGAUUCAGUACUCAUGUCUACGAAGGAGCUUCACCUUUCCCCGAGGAAGUGACACGGGCUGGGAAUGGAGGACGGCCUAACUUCUAGAUCUGAAAUACGUUUUCAGCGCUCCAUCCUAUUGACUAGUGCGGGUACCAGAGCCUGUAGAUGCUUUUGCACUACUGCCUCAGAAGAUGCUGUCGUACCACACGUUCAGAACGGCUGUGUUUCUAACAGGAUCUGGGGAACAAUCUGACACCGGUGAUCCCAGGAUCGGUGAUCCCAGGAUUCCUGCUCUGAGUAGUUAACACACCCGGAAUAUGACUUGGGUAGGAAGAGGAAAACAUAAACACAGAUAUAUCUUAAUUGUUUUUUUCCUCUAGCUUGGCUAUCCUUCUCAUUUACUCUCUCUUGUUCUCUUACCUUUCUACUUGGAUAGAUUAUACUUCUUAUUGGAGAGAAAGUGAGGCUGCUUUAGACUUGUACACUUAAUUGUAUUUUGUUAUAAUAGAUAGUUCCAGACCAGCCAUGAUACUCGUGUACACACACACACACACACACACACACACUCACACAGACAGUUACACACACACUCAUACACACACUCACACAUACUCACACACUCACACACAGUCACACACACAUACACACACACUCAUACACAUACUCACACAUACUCACACACACUCACACACUCACACACAGUCACACACACACACUCACACACACACACACUCAGUGCCAUGUUUCAAAUAUAAAAAUAUCAAAAUUUAAUGCCUGCUUCUUUCUAAAAUGAAGUCAGUGGGAGACAAGUUGGAUAGAAGGACCUGUACAGGAAAUAUUGGUUCUCGUUUCCUUCUAUAACUUUCUAUCUCAUUGUUGUAACUUACUUUAAUAUUUGAGAUAUGUAGUGCAGUUUGGCCUAAAGCCUGCUAUGCCACCCAGGAACUCACAGCUCUCAUGCCUCUGUCUCCCAAGUGCUGUGAUCAUAGGCGCCUGUCUAGUCACAUAGCAAUUUUUAUCUUUGGAUAUUGCCAGAAGUUCUUUGAGAAAGCUAUUUUAUAUGAUGCUGUCAUUGGUACUUUGUCAUGUUAAAUUUCCUCUACAUGAUUAAGUAUCAGCAGUCACCUGGGGCAGGGGCCCCAUGUGGCCCUUUCUGCCCAGUUGUUCCAGGGAUGGUGUUUCCUAGCCUUUGUUUUGUCUCAGCUGGUGUCUGUCACAGGUUGACAGGAGGUGGUAUCCUCGGACUUCCUCUCUAGCAAGUCACUCUGGAUUGGUAACCGUUGUGUAGCUAUGAGAGUGUCCAUGGCCCACGCCGCAGUAUAGGACUGCGUUGAGUUCUUUGCUGUGUACUUCCACUGGAGACCAUGCUGAAGUCCACGGCACAUGCUGGGGCCAAAGGCUAGGUGGACGUCCACGGACUGUGAUGUCACCAGAAACCAUAUAGAAGUCCUUGCUCCAGUUGACUGGAAAGGGCAAGGAAACUUCUUUUACAGUCAUAUUGAUGACUACAGACUCAUAGUUGAGAAUAAGAAAUGUAGAAGGCUUCUCUGGCAACCCCUCCUGCACCUCCCCCACCAAAGGAAGCAACAGCCUUGACAGAAAGCCACUGAAGGGAACUCUUAAAAUUUCUGAUAGGGAUUCUGAAGUGUAGCUCUCUACCAUCAAUGGCUUCGGGUGGAGAUGCAGGUGGGGAAGGACCGGUUUUCUUUAAGAACCUGGCCACUGGGAGUAGGAACAAGCUCCAGUGAGCACACAGGCAACACAUAUUGGAUUUGUAUUUUUUUUUUUCCGGAGCUGGGGACUGAACCCAGGGCCUUGCGCUUCCGAGGCAAGCGCUCUACCACUGAGCUAAAUCCCCAACCCCUGGAUUUGUAUUUGUUUCUUCUUCUUUUUGGGGGAGAUGUGUGAUCACAGGGUUAUGGGGUGGUUCUGGGAGGACUAGGAAGUGAGCAUAGUUGGCUGGGGUGCAUUAUGUGAAAUUCUCAUAACCAAUACAAGUAUUAUGUUGAAAGAAAAGGAAGUCGUCCUGUAGAAAAGACACGGCCACCCGGUGGCUUUCCAUGUGGAAGCACCCACUAGGCUUUCAGAUAAAUAUUCUCCCUCCCUCCCUCUGCAUCUAGGCUUCAGAUUGAUAUUCUCUGUCUCUCCCUCUCCAAGCAAGGGCAGUAUCCAAAUGACGUCAUCUUUGUGAAGAGUCCAUUGCACGCUUGAAUGUGCAUGGGCCAUGGCUCUGAAGAUGCGCUGCACUCCAGGUCCAUAAUAAAUAUAAUAAAUAUAUAAUGACAUAUGUAGACAACUCGAUUCCUACUUUCAACCCUGGGCAGUUUGGGGAGAAAUUUCAUUUUUGGUUUUGAUCUCUCAUGCUUUCUUUGUGUGAAGAAAAGAAUUUACACUGUUACCUUUUCCUCAACCUUCCCAGCCAAUAGCGCUUUCAACAUUAGCAGAUUCCCACAGGCUGCCAAGGGACACACGUAUUCUCACGCCAAGUACCCCUUUAUGGGCUUCAUGGUAUUUUAGAAAGUACAGAUUGAGACCUAAGGAUACUGAUCUUAUCUGCAAAGCAUAUGUAGGUAAAUUCUUUUGUUUUCGCUGUGCAUUCUCUGAGAUUAUAACAUUACCUAGAAAUGGGGAGCAAAACACCAGGUUUCUCAUAGCACAAAGUCAUUCAUUAAACAUUAAUUCGAAAUAAUCUCUUACUUUCUUCCCAACUUUGUCGAUGUCCUGGGAUUUAACAUUGCCUUACAAUAAGUUCGUGUGCUUUGUGUGUCUCGUUAGCAGAAAGACGUUUUCAAAGUUUUCUUUCUGAGCAAAAUUCAGAUUGCUUUUAUCCAUCUUUUAAUAUUAACAACUUAACUGUAGUAAAUGUCUCUUUAAUUGAAUAAAAUAAUUUUUGGUUUUUAUGUUUAUUUUUUGCUGAAAACAUGAAAGCCUAGAGAAAGUUUUGGCAAAGAUGCUUUAUUUUAGUCUAUUGUAAGAGGUAUGUGAAAUGUCAACGCAUGAGGAAACAGGAGAGACUAUUUUAUAAAUUUCCACGCAUCAAAUAAGUGACAGGUUUGAGUCAAUCAGUUUAAGAAGUUACCAGUCCAUUGAUGAAACCAUUUGAAGAAAAUGUUUGAUGUUACAGAAGCCAAAAGUUGAAUAAAUUUGUCAUCUGUUUUUCAUUUUAAUUCACCAUUUCAGAAGUAUUUACUGUGUAUUAAAAAAAAUCCUUUACUCUUUCAAAUCUUUUGGACAACCUGGAAAAAUUCAGAACAGUUGAGCAUGUUGCUGUGAAAGCACAUUGCCAGCUGAGUUAUCUUCUGCAUAGCCAUACUAUUUAUGAACUUUAAAUUUGAACAGAAAUUAUCAUCUCACUGUCUAGGUAGCCAGGGCUUUUAAGCAUACGCUGCAAAAGAAAAUAUGAAAAAUAAAAAC